Pelobates cultripes (western spadefoot toad) is the source of this 103-nucleotide non-coding RNA. The record is from the annotation of a GenBank genome assembly. NCBI's taxonomy places the organism in Eukaryota, Metazoa, Chordata, Amphibia, Anura, Pelobatidae.
AAUAAUAGUACUAGUGCUAAACAUAAGCUACAGUGUAUUGAAUUCAUUUCUACAUGUAUUACACUGUAGCUUAUGUUUAGCACUAGUACUAUUUAAUUUAUCU